Molecule: long non-coding RNA, 34989 nt
Filed under: Vitis vinifera (wine grape)
Lineage: Eukaryota; Viridiplantae; Streptophyta; Magnoliopsida; Vitales; Vitaceae
Description: long non-coding RNA (VVIN_LNC002254)
Source: RNAcentral
UCUGGACUCCUUCUCUAAUCGUACGAGCUGUUUUUUCUUUCCUUUCAUAAUUUCAUUCGUGGGCAAUUGAGGCAGGCAGAAAGGGAGGAUGCAGUCAAAGAAGUCGGAUGAGAGAUAGUGGGUGGUUUUUGUAUUUUUUUGGUACUAUAAUUUGCUUUAAGGUUAAACACAACUUAAUCUCAUUAAUUAAUCAUUAUAAAUAUUUUAUUGUUUUAAAAUUUAAACACUGAGCUUGUUUUUUUAUUGACAUUUCAAAAUAUGAUUACAUACUAAAUAAAUCAGAUUUAUUUUUGUAAAAAUAAUUAUUUAUUUUUCUUGUUUUAUAUAAUUAAGAUAAAGAUAUUUGAAAUAAAAAAUAAGUAAUUUAACAUAUUUUUAAAUAUCCCAAAAUAUCAGAUUACAUUAUAAUAACAAAAAAUUUAAUGAUGAUAAAAUAAUUAGUAAUUAUAUAGUAAUUAAAGUUUUAAAUUAUAUUUGGUUGCUAAGAAAUGUUAGAAAUAUUUUAUGUAAACUUUUAUAAAAUACUUACUGGGUUGUAUGUGACACAUAUUUGGAUGUAUUGAUUUUUUAUUUAAAUGGUUAAUUUAUUAUUUUUAAAAUUUUCUAUUAUGGUAAUUAACAACAUCAAAUCAUACAUUUUUAUUUUUAAUAUUAAUUAAAAAAAUUAUUUGAGUGAAUGUUUACAUAAAUGUGAAUUGGGUUUUGGAGUUAUAAUUAGAGAAAAUAUAUUUGAAUUAAUGUAGAUAAUUCAAAUAUUAUUAAGGUAAGCAAUGAAAUCAUUAAAAUUGAAACAUGAUCAGGUAAAAAACUUUGUCCUCUUCCUUGUUGAUCAUUCUAUAAAUAAAGCAUAAAUAACCAGGGAAUGCACUUGUAUCUAAGCCUACCUUUCCUUUCACUUCUUCAGUGUCACUACCAUGGAUGUGUCUUCCCUUCACACAUCGCUCUCUCUUCUCUUCGUGUUUCUCUUGCUUGCUUUCGGAAUCUUCUUCCCAAGAAGACGAAGAUAUGGGAAUCUCCCACCCAGCCCGCCUGCAGUUCCGAUUAUAGGUCAUCUCCACCUCCUCAAACAACCGGUUCAUCGAUCUCUACAACUCCUUUCACAAAAGUACGGUCCAAUCUUCUCCCUCCGAUUCGGAUCCCAGCUCGCGGUCAUCGUUUCCUCUCCCUCCGCCGUCGAAGAAUGCUUCACCAAGAACGACGUCGUCUUGGCCAACCGCCCUCGCUUUGCGUCCGGCAAGUACAUGGGGUACAACUACACCACCGUUGCCGCGGCAUCAUACGGCGAACACUGGCGCAACCUCCGUCGCCUCAGCGCCCUGGAAAUCUUCUCCUCCAAUCGCCUCAACAUGUUUCUAGGCAUCCGCAGGGAUGAAGUCAAGCGUCUACUCCUCCGACUGGCUCGAGAUUCGAGGGAGGGUUUUGCAAAGGUAGAGCUGAGACCCAUGCUUACAGAGCUAACCUUUAAUAUUAUAACGAGGAUGGUUGCAGGAAAGAGAUACUACGGAGAAGACGUGGAAUAUACGGAGGCUAAACGUUUUCGGGAGAUUAUCAGCCAGCUUUUCGUACUGGUUGGGGCAUCAUCAAAUCCAGCAGAUUUUUUGCCCAUAUUGCGAUGGACUGGGCUCGGAUACCAUGAGAAGAAGCUAAAGAAUAUCAUGAGAGAGACAAAGGCGAUCAUGCAGGGUUUGAUUGAUGAGCAUAGAAGUGGUAAUGACAAGGGUUCGGUGGAUAAUAAUUCUAUGAUCGACCAUCUGUUAUCCUUGCAAAAAACAGAACCAGAGUACUACACAGAUGACAUUAUUAAAGGGCUUGUACAGGUGAGUGAAACGCUGUUUUCGUAUCUGCUGUAUUUUCAAAGUUUAUUCUAAAAUUUCACAGAAAACAAAAAUAAAAGUGCAGUUUAAUACUUGUAGUGGGAAACUUGGUUUUUGAAGUGUAUAAUGUUGGUUUUUUUGUGGGUUUUUUUACUUCUUUUUUCAUCUCACAAAUUCUUCAAUACAGGUCUUAAUUCUUGCUGGAACCGACACUUCAGCAUCAACAAUGGAAUGGGCAAUGACCCUUCUCCUCAAUCAUCCGGAUGUUUUGGAGAAAGCUAAAGCAGAGUUGGAUAUGCACGUUGGAAAGGACCGCUUGAUAGAAGAAUCUGAUCUUCCCAAACUGCGGUACCUUCAAAGUAUCAUUUCUGAGACUUUGAGAGUAUUUCCUGUGACCCCUCUGUUACUGCCCCAUAUGUCCUCAGAUGACUGUCAAAUAGGGGGUUUUGAUAUACCACGAGGCACAUUAUUACUGGUAAAUGCAUGGGCCCUUCACAGAGACCCUCAGGUGUGGGUAGAUCCUACAAGUUUCAAACCUGAAAGGUUUGAAAAUGGAGAACGUGAGAAUUACAAACUAGUACCAUUUGGAAUAGGAAGAAGAGCCUGUCCUGGAUCUGGCCUAGCUCAGCGAGUGGUGGGUUUGGCUUUGGGGUCGUUGAUUCAGUGCUAUGACUGGAAGAAGAUUAGCAACACCGCUAUUGACACCAUUGAAGGGAAAGGGCUGACCAUGCCCAAACUGCAGCCAUUGGAAGCCAUGUGUAAGGCACGUGAGAUUAUAAACGAGGUUCACUUGAACUAGAAAACAAUAUUUAGUUGGUAUUAGUACUCUGGUAUUUUGCUUGUAUUGAUGCAAUAAGCAUUCUCUGAUGCAUUUCGAGUAUCGUCCCCGUUAUAAAUAUGUAUUAUAUGCUAAGAUUGUCGUUAUGUCGAUUAUCAUACUAGCAGAUUUCUUUUGCUUUGGAGAGCAGAGUGGAAAUCUAAAUCUUAAAAUCAUAAUAAUAAAAAUAUUGAAAUAUUUAAUUUCUCAUUUGAAUAUGCCUUUUUUUUUUUUGCCUGUUAAAUUUUUAAAUUGAUCGUUUUCCUCUUUGAUUUUAAAACUUAAUGGUUCUGUUGAAUAUAUUUGAGAAUGAAAAAAAAAAUCAUUAUUUUUUGUUUGAGAAUGUGUGCCAAUGCUGUGCAGAUGAAUGAACUGUUGCAUGAUAAUGGACUAACAAUAUGUGUCAAAUUGACGAUCAUUCUAACUUUGUCUAAUUCAUAUUAUAUCAUUUUUCUGACUUGAAAAAUCUCCCUCCAUUAUCCUCUCCCAUGACUUUAAUUUCACAUCACUUUUCAACCCAAAGUUGAAGCUCAACGCCAUGAUUAUCAUGUUGACCAACGUAACGAGAAUUUCCAUUCGUCGAGGCUCAUUCCAAAUUAAAGCAGACAGCCUGACCAUACUAUUGCGUGGGCCUUAAAUUUUCUUUAGUCCAGAAUCUCAUAUCAUUCAGUCUUAUCUUAAUUUUCUGGAUUAUCCUCUCCACUAUGGAUAAUUGUGUUUUGGAUCCAACUGAACUCAAAAAUUAAUAUUUGGUUCAUAUAAUUUACAUAACUAAUAAAAAUAAUAUAAGAUGUUAAGAAAUCAAUACACCUUUCAAAUUUUUAUAUAUUACCUUUUAAAAAUAUAAAAUAGUGAUGAACUAAAAUACCUAAUAACCUUUCGGAUAAGCUUUUUUAAAAUUUGGAUUUUAAUAAUUUUUACACUACUAUUCAUGCAACCAUAAUAAUUCUAUUUUAACAAUUUGAAUUUUUCAUUGUUUUUAAUUUUUUAUUAUAAAUAAUUGAAAAUCAACAUUAUUUUCUAUUUUAAAUUAUAAAUAAAGAAAAAUUAUGUUCAAAAACUAUUUUAAAAAAUACUUUCUAAAAAAAUGGUAAUAUGAUUUAUAUUUUUUAUAUUUUAUUUUUGAAAAAACAUUUAAUUAAAAAAUGAAAACUAUUUUUAAAAAUAAAAAUUGAAAACCUUGUUUAGUACUAUUUUUUAUGUGAAAAUAAUAAAAAGAAUUAAAUUUUAUUUAUUGAUUAUCCAUUUUUAUUUUUUUUCCAUUAGUUAUUUUAAUAAUAAUAAUAAAAAUAUAGUUGGUUUACAAUUAAACAAAUGAAUUGGUUAAUUAUAUGUUUUUUUAUGUGACUAUCUUUUACAUGAAAAAUAAUUAAAUAACUAAAUUAUAUAUGUUUAUUACUAUUUUUAAUUUUAUUUUCUUUAUUUAUUUUUUGUAUAAUAGAAAAUUUUAAUAUAUCCAUAAUUAACAAAGUAAUAGAUUAAUUGUACACAUUUUGAUUUAUUAAAAUAAAUUAAUUUCUAAUUUAAAUAAAUAAAAUGAAAUAAGUAAAUAAAUUUGAGGUUAUUUCUAUUUUUUAACAUAUCUUAUAUUAAUAUUUUUUAUAGUUAAAUAAAUUUUUUAUUAUUUUUUUCUUUAAUUCCAAAAUAAAAUAAAUAAAUAAAUAAAUAAAUUUGGUAUUUUCUAACUGAUCUUAUAUUCAUAUUUCUUAUGAUUAAAUAAAUUUUUUAUUCUUUUUUCUUUAUUUCCAAAAAUAAAAGGAAAUAAAUAAAUAAACUUGGCUUAAAUAAUAAUUUUUAAGUAAUUUCUUUGUCUUAUUUUUAAUUACAUUUUGUAUUGAAAAUAAAAUAAAAUAACGUUUUAUUUAACUCGCAUAUGACAAUUCGAAUACUUAUCCCACUAAUGAUGUUUGAAAGAAAAUUUUGUUUUUCUAUCUUCUACUAUUUUUUGAACCAAACCAAUGAAAACAUGGUUAAUCUACGUAUGAUUACACAUUGAGUAGGGGUAUAUGAAAUUUUGAGUCACUGUACAAGGUAUUUACACUAAGUAUACAUGAUAAAUAUAUUAAUUGUAUUAGGGUGUACAAGACUAUUAUUUGUGAAAAAUUUUGAGUGAUUCUGAAAAACUUGUUUAUUUAUUUUUCCUAACUGAUGAUAGAUGACAUUCCUUACACACAUUGGUUAAGUAUACAUUCAUUUCAUGCAUUUUAUCUAAUUUGUAUAUGGUCAUUUAAAUAAGUACCUCACUUAUGAUGAUUGUACAAUAAAAUUAUACAACAAUUUUUCUUCUUUUUUAAAACCAAACUAAUGCAAACAUGGUUAACUGAAUUAUUGUCAGAUAUUCAUGAAAUGAUGUAUGAAAUUUGAGUUAUUAUACAAGGGUGUUACACUAACUGUACAAGACAAAUUUACUAAUUGUAUAAAGGUGUAUAAGAUUACUUUUUGUUAAGGAUUUCAAGUGAUUUUGAAAAACUUUCUCAUUUUUUUAACUCAAGGAUUUUUGCGCACUCAAAUUCUCUCACUUAAGAAUUGUUUCGAAUUUUAUUUUUAAAUUUUAUCAUCAAAAUUUUGUAAUUGCAUAUUUCGUUUUUUUAGUUUUAGUAAUGUUCUUUCUUUCCACUAUUUUUUUUUGUGAAAUUUUAUCCAAUUUAAUCUAUAUUUAAAAUUAUAAUCAUAUUUAUCAAAUUUUUUUACUAAAAUUAUCUUUAAUUUUUUUAAUAUAUUUAUACUCAUUUAUUUAAAAAAAUGAAAAACUAAUUUUUUUUUAUAAACAUGUUCUAUUAUCUUUCAAGUAAAAAUUAGAUAAGUUUGAAAGUUAAUAAAAAAAAUUAAAUACCACUUUCAAUAAAUUGUAUUGACAGUUUUCUUAUUGUGAGUCAAAAUACUUUGUAUUAGUCUAUCUAUAUAAGAAAAAUUAUUAAUAUAAUAUUAGAACUUUAUAUCUUAGUUAUUUUUUUCAAUAAAUUUAUCUUUUAAAAAAUUUUAAAAUAAAAACAUUAAAAAUUAAAAAGCUAAAAGGAUAUAUAAUAAGAGUGAAGUGAUAGUCAUUUUUAAAAUUUUUUAAAUAUGGUUAAUGUAGAAUAUAUAAAAAAUAAUUAAAAAUAAGAGAAAAAGUAUAAAUGAAAGGGUAAUAUAAAUUUAAAAUAAAAAAUGAAAAUUAAACUAAAAGAUAAAUACAAAAGAUAAAAAAUAUUUGGAUGAAAAAUUCCAAAAUUUUUAUCCUUACUUAUAAUAAGAGUAAAAAGAUUCAAUAUAUUUAAAAAUAAAAAUUAAAAAAAAUAAAAAUAUUAUUACUUUUUAUUUGACAUAAAAUAGAAUUAUAGAUUGGAAAAAAAAAAGUUAGAAAUGGGUAAUACUUAAUAGGGAAUAGAAAAGGGAAAAAAACACAAAAAAAUUAAAAUUCACACUCACUAUGUGCUUAUGUAAGGGUUAAGGGUAUUUUAGGGAUUAAUGAAAGACAAUAUUAUUCUUCUCAAUUUUCAAACUUUUUUUUGGAUGUUGGACUUAAUUAUGAAAGAUAUAUGAAAUCGAUUUUAAUUUUGGCUCACCAAAACACAAUUCUCCCAAAAUGAAUUUAUCAGAAUUUGUGUUAAACAGGCCGCCUCCACUGCCCCAUGGAGGAUGGCGGCGCUUCAGGCGUAGACUUUCAAGGACAACUUGGCUGUUUGAUACAUUUCCUAUAAAAAAUAGGUGUUUGAUAAACUUUUGAAAACCUCUUUAUCUAUUCCUAUCACAGUAUGAUGCAACUUUAUCACAAGAGUCUACUCAAUGUAAGACAAACUCUCUGAUUGCUUAAUAUUUUUUGUAUUAAAAAGAAUAGUUUACACCUCAUUCAUAAUCGAUUAUUGUCUUUCUUAUUGAAAGUGUAGCCGCCUGUCUCAUGUGAUUUUGGCAGGGCUGUCAAUAAAAUAAUAAUUUUAUCUUCAUCUUUAAUCUUAAUUUUUAUUCUCAAUAAAUGAGUUAUGCAAUUCUUAAAUUUAUUUAUGUGAUCCUUAAGAUUUGUUCUUUCAUCCAUUUUGAACUCAUAUAAUUACUUCUUCAAAUAUAAUCUAUUUGUUAAAAAUUUUAAAAUAUAAGUUUUUUUUGUCAUUUUUGCCAUAAAUCAGAAGAAGAUCUUUCAUUCAAAACACUAUAUUUUAGUUAACGAGUUAGACUUAAACAAAUAGCAUUUACUACUUUUGCUUUAAUUCUUCCCAUUGUUCAUCCACUAUGCUCUUCGGUUUCUUAUCUUGUAAUGCUUUAAAAAGUCCUUGUUGCACCAAAAUAUCUAUAACCAUAUUUUGCUAAAUACGGAGAUGAUUUUUUCCAUCAAAUGACUUACUAUCAUAUUUUAUACCAAACAUCAUCUUUAAAAUAAUUUUUCUAUGGUUUUCACACUAUGACUCUAGUACCACUUGUUGAAAGAAAUCACAAUACCCAAAUGUAUUUUGAAACAUAAAGAAAAUUGUGGACUCCGCAUUUCGACCCAUGCGUUUUCACUCGAUGGCGAGCUCAAUUUUUAUUUGAAAAUGAUUUUAUUUAUUAAAAAAUGACUUGGAGUCGUCACUUAUUUUUACUUUAUUUUUUAAAAGGGUAAAUAAAAUAAGAAAGAAAACUCUAAGUGUGACUCAUUAUUUUGAAAAAGGUGGUCUAUGAAAAAUCGGAUCGGGUUCGAGGGUUAGGUUACUUAUCAGGAAGGUAUGGUAAAGACUGUAACACCCUUUUAAGUCCCUAAAAUCGGGUCUCUACUAAUAAAAUGAAGCUGAUGUGGCAAUCAAUAUGGAAAUCAAUGGAUACUCAAAUCGAUUAUGCACCUAUGAGAAUCAAAACAUGCAUAAAGAAUGACCAAAAUGAGAGUAGAUGCAUACCUGGGCCACGAAUGAGCAAUGUGCUAUCAUAAAAAAUGGGGUCAAUGUACAAUAAAGAACACAAAACAUAUCACCUGUAUCACCAAACAAAAAUUAAAAUUGUUCGAGGAAAAACUGGAUUUUUGAAAAUUGGAGUCUUAAAGAUUAUUUGAAAAUUGAUAUUUUAGAGAUUAAAUGUAAGAAUGAGAAUUUUAAAAAUUAAAUUUGAAGAAAUUUUGAAAGUUAUUUGAGAGUUUGGGAUUUAAAAAAAUUAAAUUACGAAAAUUGGGAUUUUGGAAAUUAAAUUUUAAAAGAAAUUAGAAUUGAAAAUUAUUUGAGAAGUAGAAACUAUGAAAAUUGAAUUAUAAAAAUGAAAAUUAAGUUCGAAAAUUGGACAAUUGGAAUUUCAGAGAACUAAAUUUGGAAAUUGAAAUUUUGAAAAAUUAUUUUAAAACAAAAUUUUAAAUAAAUGAAUAAGUGAAUAAAUAAAUGAAUGAAAUAAUAAUAAUGACGAAAUAAUAAUGAUUGGAUACAUAAUUACGGAAGUUAGGAUUUCGGAAAUUGGAAAUUGAACUUAGGGAUUGAAAAUUUAAAGAAUUAUAAAUGAAUAAGUGAAUAAAUAAAUGAAUAGAAUAACGAAAAUAAUAAUGAUUGAGUAAAUAAUUAUGAAGAUGGGAAUUUUGGAAAUUGGAAAUUUGAAGAAUUAUUUAGAGAGGGAAUUUUAAAUAAAUGGAUAAGUGAAUAAGUAAAUGAAUUGAAUAACGAAAAUAAUAAAGAUCGGAUAAAUAAGUGCGAAAAGUAAAAUUUUAGAAAUUGGAAAUUAUUUAGAUAUUGAAAAUUUGAAGGAUUAUUUAGAGAUAAAAUUUUAAAUAAAUGAAUGGAAUAAUAAUAAUGACAAAAUAAUAAAGAUUAGGUAAAUAAUUGCGAAAAAUAGAAUUUUAAAGAUUGGAGAUUGAAUUUAGAGAUUGAAAAUUUGAGAAAUUAUUUAGAGAUGAGAUUUUAAAUAAAUGAAUAAGUGAAUAAAUAAAUGAAUGAAAUAAUAAUAAUGACAAAAUAAUAAAGAUUAGAUAAAUAAUUGUGAAAAAUAGAAUUUUAGAGAUUGAAGAUUGAAUUUAGAGAUUGAAAAUUUGAGAAAAUUAUUUAAAGAUGAGAUUUUAAAUAUAUGAAUAAGUGAAUAAAUAAAUUAAUGAGAUAAUAAUAAUAACGAAAAUAAUCAUUAAACAACUGAAUGUGAAUAGUUGAAUUUUUGAGAUUGGAAAUUAAAUUUGCAAACGGAAUUUUAAAAAAUUGAACUUUAAUGAUUGAAAUUUUUAAAAGAAAUAAAUAAAUAAAUAAAUGGAAUAAUAAUAAUAAUAAUAACGAAAAUAAUAUUUGAACGAAUGAACGUGAAUAGUGGAUUUUUGAGAUUAAAAAUUAAAUUUGAAAGACGAAAUUCUUUUUUUUUAUUUAUAAAAUAUGUUUAAAGAUUGGAAUUUUUAAAAUAAAUAAAUAAAUGAAAUAAUAAUAAUAAUAACAAAAAUAAUACGAUGAACGUGAAUAGUAAAAUUUUUGAUAUUGAAAAUUAAAUUUGAAAAACGGAAUUUUGAAGAAUUAUUUGAAAGUGAAAAAUGGAGGAUUAAGUCUAAGAAAAUGGCAUUUUGAAGAUUUAUUUGAGAAUGAAAUUUUUGAAGAUUUAAUUUAAAAGGAAAUAGAGUUGCGAAAAUUUAUUUGAAGAUAACAUUUUAAAAAAGAUUAAAUUCGAAAUUAUGGAAUUUUGUUGGAGAAUUAAAUUUAAAAAUUUGAAUCUUGGAGAAUUAGGCCUAAAAUUAGAACCUUAGAAAAUGGAAACUUGGAAAAUUGAAUUUAAAAAAAAAAAGAAGUUUAGUUAAAUUGAAUUUUUGGUAAUCAAAGUUUUAUAAACUAAAUUUAAAAUCAAAUUUCAGGAAAUUAUUUCGAUAAUGAUAUUUUGUAUAAUUAAAUUUAAAAAUGGAGUUUUGGAAAAAUUAACUUGGAUAUCAAAACACGAAGAAAUAACAAAAAUAAAUAGGUAAAUAAAUAAAGGUAUGGUGAUUUAGGCCAAAAGUGGCCAUGCAAAAUGGGGCCCGGGGUUGCUAUCAGGAUUGCAACCGAAGGUUGAGAACAAUCAGGUGUUGUUUUGUUCAGGGUACUUGAAAUAGCAGAAAAAUUCAUAAGGCAUUUCCCUGUCAAGAUUGGCUCAUAUGUAGCCGGAAAGGAUGGGUACAUUGGUGAAAAAGGUUCUGUAGGAGAUGAAAGAUGUGGAAGAACAUCAGGUGAUAUUUCUAAGGGUUCAAAGAGAUCAGUAUUAUGUGGUUUUGCCAAAUCAGUCGUGGAAGAUACAUGAUUAUACUUAACAAGUGUCAGCUGUUCCACUACAUCUUAGAAUCUGGAUAACCAGAUGGUGAAUAAAAAAAAAACUGAUUGCAUAAAGAACCCUUAUGACGAGUAAUGGUCUGUAGACAACAACAUACCAAAAUAAAGGCCUAUUUCCCUCAGCUGUAUAUCCAAAAACAGCUCACAACAACAUACCAAAACUUGAAGAUGGGGAGCCCGGAAACCAUUUUUCGAGGCGAGAUCAUGCUGUGGGGGUAAUGGACGAUGAACCUGGGGGUGAGAGGAGCUGUGGUGUUUUGUGAUGAAGAUGUUUCCCGUCAGAACAACGGCGGUGAAAAGGCUCAAACUCCGGCCAUUGCUCUUCGUCUCCGUGAAAAACUCACGGCUGCCAACAAAACAUUGGAUCGAUCCGCAAGCCAAAAUGAUCCAAUUCGAGGAGCUUUGUUAUCAGAGGAAGCGUAUGGAAAUUGGGCCAGAAAUGGCAGAAGAGGAGGUCACAAUCAAAACCAUUGAAGAAAACUCUCAAGCUUUCUCUCUCUACAAACUGAAAAUUCCCCUGCUAAUCUUCUUCUUCCUCUUUUCUCUCCGUUUCUCUAAUUUCUCACUCUUCCAAAAUAUCUCCCGCCCUCAAGCUCUCAAAAAUUCCCCAGAACCCCACUCCAUCUCUGGAAAACUCACCCCAAAAGAACCCCAUUUCUCCCGAUUUUUUUUUUCUUCUCUCUCCCCUCAAAAAUCUUCUUCCCGCUCAGUUUUUCUUCUCCCACAAGUCUGCACCUGCUUCCUGCUACCACCAUGCCGUCUUUGCCACAUGUCCCAUGCGGGUUCACCUGGAAGUUGUCCCCUACUUUCGAAUGACUCUUUUCGGAUUUGAGAAAAAAAUAUUGGUCCAAGAGGGGUCCACAAAAAUAAAAAUAAUUAAAGAUUUAUGUUAUUUGGUAUAAUUGCCUAUGCCUAUUAGAUAGGAGGAUCGAAUUUAUUAAUGGUCAUGAAAAGGAAUUAAGACUUAUGAAUAACCAACAUUAUUUUUUCUCCAUAUUUUUUUUUCUUUUUCUUUUAUGAAAAAGAAUUUUAAAACUCUUUACUAUUUCUCAACUAAGCAAAAAACUCACCACUAUUAACUAUGAAAUAGUGUUAAGUGAGGAUAUGAUAAGGUCAAAGAAUGAUAAAUAAUGAAUCUCAUGUAUUUAAAUUAUGCUGAUUUUAAUAUUAUUGGUUAGUUCUAAAUCAACCUUGAACUUGAUUAUUAGAAUAACAAUAAAACUAUAUUUAAAUGAUAUCUAAAAUGUUUUGAAAACAAUUUAAAUUUUAUAAAUUAAGUACUUAUAGACAUGUGAGAAUGCAAAUAUCUAAUUUUCAAUAUAUCCAUGAUUAAAAUAAUUAUAUUUUUAUAAAUAUUAUUAUUUAGAAAUAAUAUGUAAGUCAAUUAAUUGAUAAUAUUAUUAUUUAUAAAUAAUAUAUCGACAAUAAUUAAUAAUUAAUAUUUAUAUAUUGAAUCUAGUACAUAAAAUUAAAUAAUUUUAUAAUACAGAUAUUUUAAAUAAUUUUAUUGUUAUAAAAAUAUAGUUUCAAACCAUAUUAGCAUUACUACAUUUUUUUUAGAAUUAUUAUUAUUUUUUUUGAAAAAAUCAUAUUUUCAAAAAUAUAUAUAUUAUAGGUUUAAAAUAUGAUUAAAAUAAUUAUAUUUUUAUAAAUAUUAUUAUUUAGAAAUAAUGUGUAAGUCAAUUAAUUGAUAAUAUUAUUAUUUAUAAAUAAUAUAUCCACAAUAAUUAAUAAUUAUUAUUUAUAUAUUGAAUCUAGUACAUAAAAUUAAAUAAUUUUAUAAUACAAAUAUUUUAAAUAAUUUUAUUGUUAUAAAAAUAUAGUCUCAAACCAUAUUAGCAUUACUACAUUUUUUUUAGAAUUAUUAUUAUUUUUUUUGAAAAAAUCAUAUUUUCAAAAAUAUAUAUAUUAUAAGUUUAAAAUAUGAUUAAAAAUAAGAAACGUCUUUGUAAGAAAUUAUUUCAAUAUAAUUGUAUUUUUUUAUCUUUUAGAGAAAACUAUGAUUUUUGUUUUAAGAUUUUUUUAUUUAUUUAAGAAAUCAUAUUUUAAAGAAACAAUUUUAUUUAAAAAAUAGAGAUACAAACAAAAUAAAUAAAUUCGGAAAAAAAAACUUAGAAGUGAUAUUUUAUCAAAAAAAAAAAAAAAAAAAAUGUACAUCAUUCUCCAAGUAUCUAAAAUAUAACCCAAGUGUCAAAUCAAUUCAAUUCACCACCAAUUAUUCCAUAUUAAAUUAAAUUCAUCGUCACUUUUCCAAACAUUCACCAAUAUAGCACAGUGGGUCAACGGAUAAAAUAAAUCUGAAAAAAAAAACUUAAAUAUAGAAUUUUAUCAUGAAAAAAAUUGAAUAACAUAUAUUAUAUGUUUAGAUUACAACCCAAAAGACCUGAUCAUCAAACUAUGCCCCAAUUAAUACCAGAAUAAAUCAUAAGCAAGUCGGUCAGAAACAGAGCAUAUUUCAUCAAUAACACAUAAAAAAAAAAAAAAUUAACCUAUUUAAAAGCCUGAUAAAAUUCACACAAUUAAUUCAACAUGUCUACUUUAUAAUCACAUAAGAAUGAUUUUUAAAAUAAGACAAAUAGACCCUGAUUGCAGGAUAGGUAAGUAAGUGGAAAAAUAAUUUUUUUCUCCUACUUGGGGAAUCAAUUUUUAACAAAUGAAGAAUAUGAAGUAAUUAAGAAGCUUAGAUUAAAUAAAAAAAAAAAGAAAAGAAAAGGAAAGAAAAGAAAAAGAAAUAACUUAGUUUUUCAUAAUCAACUUGAGUGUCCAAAACAAGGUCAGAUUGGGAAAUGUGUAAAAACUAACUUAAUUCUCCUAAUUGAAAAAGGAUUUUAAGCCCAAACAAAAUUUAAUUAACAAGUUUUAAGAAGUGAAAAUAUAUUUCAAAUAUAAAUUUUUUUUUAGAAAAACCCUAAAACAUUUGUUUUUAAUGGUUAGAAAUACAUCAAACAGUGAUAUUAGACUUUUGAGAAUUUAAAGUAUGUAGGGCUCACCAAAUCCCUAUUUACUAUACACUAGUUUAAUUUAUGUAUCCUCAACCUCAUAUGAACAUUAUAGUAAGUUCAUCAAGCUUAAAUUUGAAGUAUGUAGGGCUCACCAAAUCCCUAUUUACCAUACACUAGUUUAAUUUAUGUAUCCUCAACCUCAUAUGAACAUUAGUAAGUUCAUCAAGCUUAAGGAUGAUUCCAUUUUUAUCCAGAACCAUGAACUUUGAUUUGUGUUUCGAAGAAAAAGAAAGUAAUUUUUUAAAAAAUAAUGAAAAGAUGCAUACAAUUAAAAAUUGGUUGCAUUUCCUUUUACAUAAAAAAAAUUUAAACCCUAGUGACCCAAGAUAACAUUUUUAAGAAAAGUUUAAAAAUUAAUUUUUUAAGAAAAGGAUAUGAAAAAGUAAUAUUUUUGCCAAUAAAACACACAAAAUAUUAACUGUAACCACUCCAAAAAAGUGUAGGAUGACAUACAAUUUAAUUAAUAUCUAUAAUCAUUACCAAUAAACAACCACAAAAGGACCCAAUGGAAGACCAAAAUGAGUAACCUAACCCUCCUAUCUUAUAUAAUCAGGGCCUAAAUUGAGUGAGAAUAUGCCCAUAAAUAACAAACCUAACCCUAACCCUAACAGACACCAAUGAAUAGAUAAAAUAUAUCAACUUUAUACAUAACCAUAAUUAAUAAAUGAUAUCAAAACAUGUUAUUAUAAAAAAAUGUUUAAAUUGAUAAUCAAUUAACGAUUCUUUUUUUAGAUAUACAAAUUAAACAUGGAGCAUCAAAACAAUGGAUUAAAGAUUUUUAAAAAAUAAAUUAAUAUGUGAUCAUCAAAACAAACGACUAAUAACUUUAUACAUUGGAUAAUGGGCCGAUGUCCAUGACUUUCAUCCAACCCAAAUCAUAAAAAAGGGUAGAUACUAUUCAUGACAUAGCAUUUAAAGGAUUUUAUUUUUUUUUCGAAAGAAGGAUCAAAUAAGUUUUCGUGAAAUAGGAUACUCUAGUGAAAGGAAUGAAAAAAAAAAAAAGAAGACAAAUCUUGUCAAGACAAUGAGAAGUAUACAUCAACGAAAAAAAUAAAUAAAUUUAACACCCAACUUAAAAAUUUGUAUAGUUUUGGGAAGUAUCAUGCCAAGUUAAAAUAACCUAAUUAAAAAAAAUUGUAGAUAGAGAGUGCUAAUUUCGUCGAUCUUUAUAAAUCUGAUAACAUGAGCAGGCAUCUUGACUUGCACCCAUUAACAAAUAAAUGUUCUACUAAUAUUGGCUCUGUCAUAAGCAACCUAAGAGUUAAAAUAAAGAAAAAAAGAACAAUGGUGUUAUUCACCUAAUUUCAAAUAUAAUAAUGAUAUCCACUUUCGACUUCUAUCGAAAUAGAAAUUAGAUAUAAUUAUUAGGUUAGAAACAUCUCAUAUAUAUUAAUUCAAACUUUCAUUUACACCUUGAAUAAAGAAAUCCUUCAUUCUAUCUAAUGUCUUUGAUACAUCCUUACAUUUCUUUCUACCUCAUAUUGUAUUUAUGAGAUCAUUAUCUUCAUUUCAUAUCUUUUUCUGUUGAUAACUUAAAAUAUCGAACUUACCAUACAACUAAAAUAAUAAAAAACUCAAUCAAUGAGUGAUCAUCAAAACAAACAACUAAUAACUUUAUACAUUUGGUAAUGGGCCGAUGUCCAUGACUUUCAUCCAACCCAAAUAAAAAAAAGGGUAGAUACCAUUCAUGACAUAGCAUUUAAAGGAUUUUUUUUUUUCAAAAGAAGGAUCGAAUAAGAUUUCGUGAAAUAGGGUAUUCCAGUGUAAGGAAUGGAAAAAAGGAAGACAAAUCUUGUCAAGACAAUGAGAAGUAUACAUCAAUGGAAAAAAAAAAUUAACACCCAACUUAAAAAUUUGUAUAGUUUUGGCUGUAUCAUGCCAAGUUAAAAUAACCUAAUUAAAAAAAUUGUAGACAGAGAGUGUUGAUUUCGUCGGUCUUUAUAAAUCUAAUAGCAUGAGUUGACAUCUUGACCUACACCCAUUUACAAAUAAAUGUUAUACUAAUAUUGACUCUAUCAUUAGCAACCUAAUAGUUAAAAUAAAGAAAAAAAGAAUAGUGGUGUCAUCCACCUAAUUUCAAAUAUGAUAAUGAUAUCCACUUUUAUUUUCUACUGAGAUAGAAAUUAGAUAUAAUUAUUAGAUUAGAAACAUCUCAUAUAUAUUAAUUCCAACUUUCAUCUACACCUUAAUAAAGAAAUCCUUCAUUCUAUCGAAUGUGUUCGAUUCAUCUUUACAUUUCUUUCUACCUCGUAUUAUAUUUAUGAGAUCAUUAUCUUCAUCUCAUAUCUUUUUCCACUUAUAACUUAAAAUAUCAAACCUACCAUACAACUAAAAUAAUAAAAAAAACCCCAUCAAUGAGGUCUCAUUUCACAAAAAUUGGAAUGGCAGAUGUAUUCUAUUAUUGGUGGGCCUCAGAGGAAUUUUAACAUUUCAGCAUUGGGCCUCCUUUGCAGCCAAGUCGUCAUGCUAUCAUUUAAGAAACCUCUUGCCGCAGUCUGCGUUAUGGAAGAGGAGCUGAACUCCACUGCCUACACUGCCAUUGAUAACCCAGUUGGUGUGAGAUUCUUCACAAAAGAUGGGCAAGAUCUAGAAGAUAAUAGUACUGCUCAUUGAGAUUUACCCAAAAAGAAAAAAGAAAAAGAAAUGAAGAUAAAAAAGGGAAAAUUGGGAUUCUUCAUUUUUAUAAUUGGUACAAAUUAAUAAAAUAUAAUUUCAUGGAUCACGAAGCGAAACAAAACCACAUAUACUUUUUUGCAUGUUGACAAUGUCAUGACCCAAAUUCCGGGCGACCCAAAAUUUGGCCAGUGAUCCUAGGUCAAAGGUUUGACCCCAAGGGUUUCUCUUAUUCCACGUUGGCAGUCAACUAAAACACUCUAAUUUUUUUUUUUUUUUUCAUAUAAGUCCCACUAGGGUUCUCACCAACUAACAAUAUUUUAAACCUUACUUAAACACAUCAAGAUUUAAUAAACAUCAUUGCAUCCCAAAAUAAAAUUUCAUAAAAAUCCCCUUAAUCAAACUAAGGUCUUAUUACAUUAUCCAUAAUUCACUUAUUACAAGGUCUCAAUACCACAACACAAUAAAAAAAAAAAACCUUUUCCACUAAACCGCUUCAGGGGCAUCCUGAAGUCCUCCCUGUCCCAUCUGUGGAUCCUUAGGAGUGAUAUCUGCAUCUAAAAAUAUAUAAAAAGAAAGGAGUGAGCAUUUCCACAUUGCUCAGUAGGGUGCCUAACACCCAAAUGGUUAAUGGAGGAUUACUAUAUUUUAAGAACCCAAAUGCAACAAUUCACCAAUAUAAAUCAAGUCACACAAUUUAACAUACAACACUAUACUUAAUUCCACAACAUCCACUCAUUAAAUGAAUACAUAUAAACGUGUGACACACAAUCAUACAAUGCACUAUCGUUCUCGGGCUUUCACCGAAAGAUACGCGUCCGCACCCAAAUAUACUCCCCAUUUGGAGUCUUCCCGGGGUAAACUUUUGGGUCUUUCACCCUAGGGAUCUCUCUCCCUUCUUAGUUCGUCUCACACGGGCUUUCACUUUUCAUCACUAUUUUAUUUUUUUCCAUUUCAUACACUUUUCACAAUUUUUUUUUUUCAUUUCUUCAUACAACCAUGAUGCAAAUGAAUGCCACAAAUUCCAAAAUUCCUUAAUAAUUUCUACAAUUCCAAUAAUUUCAACAUUCUCAAUAACCCAAUAAAAUAAAAUUUUCACAUUAAAAUUCCCGAAAAUAUACCAAAAAAUUUUCGAAAAUUCAAACAUCAAUAUACUUGAAUUUAUAUCACAAUUUCAGAAUUUUUCAAAAACUCUAAUAAUUCCCAAUAUUUGAAAAUAACUAAUUUUUCACAAUAAAAUUACCGCAAAUAUUCCAAUCAAUUUUCAAAAAUUCAUAAGUCACUAGAUUUAAAAUCUUGCCCUAAUUCCGGAAUUUUCCUACAUUUCUAGCAAUUUUUAACAACCUAAAAUAAUUAUUUAUUAAUUACAAAGAAUUCCGGAAAUUACAAAAAAAUCCAAAAAAAAUCCCAAAUCAUUCCAAAAAAUUCACACAACAUCAAAAUUACCUAAUUAACUCAUAAUUAUCAGAUUUAUAAUUUUUUUCCAAUGAAAAAUACAUUAAAUUUAAGUUUUAGGGUUAGUUUUCCCCUACCUCAUAUAUGAAAAUUUGGCCGUUAAAAACGAAAUCAGCCAUCGUAGACUUGUUCCUCUAGUCGAAUAGAGCACCUCCACCGAAUUUGGGCCGAAACAGAGGUUGUUUGCCCAUCCAAACGGCCGGUCAAAGAUCCGGCGAGUGACCAAAUUUUCUGCAGUAGCCCCCCUCUCUCUCUCUCUCUCCCCGCGUGCUGCCCAUUUUCCAAUUCUCCCCUUUUUCCUUUUUUUUUUUUAACAACAAAGACUUCCUACCACCAGCCCAUAUCUAAGCCUAAUCCAUGACAUCACCCACUUAAGCCCAACUCCAUUAUUAUUAUUAUUUUUUUUCUUUUACAACCCAUUACCUUAAACGGCCAAUAUUUAAAGCCCAAUGAAUAUUUUUAUUUUAUUUAUUUUAUUUUAUUUUCUUUUCUUUAUUCUAAUUGUUUUAUUUGAUUUCCAAUUCAUUUUUUUUUAAUUUUCCGGAAAAUUUCAAUUUCUAAAAUCCUAAGAAAUUUUCUACCCUAAGGCUGACAUGGCAUAAAAUUUCAACUCGUUUAAUUGACCGACACAAUAAAACGAAAUUCACCAAUCCGAAAUUGACACGUGUUCUCCAAAUACUUUUCUUUUUGACUUUUCAAUCAUAACACAAAAUAAGACUUUUUAAACUAAAAAUGUUAACGUGUCAUAAAAUACCCGGACAAUCUAGAACACCUAAGCAAAGAUAUAUCAUAAACAAAUUUUGGCUUUAUCAGGACUCUUAACAGCCUUCAGAUCUGAACCCAUCUUUCUCUUAUGUUUGUCAUCAACACAACCAUGGAAAUUACAUGGCUAAGCACAUCUCUAUGUCUUCUCUUUCUCUUGUUUGCUUUCAAUAUCUUCCUCCAAAGAAGAAGAAUACAUCCCCACCUCCCACCAAGCCCGCCUGCUAUUCCGAUUCUUGGUCACCUCCAUCUCCUCCUUAAACCACCAAUUCAUCGGCAAUUACAGAAUCUUUCUAAAAAAUAUGGUCCUAUCUUCUCCCUUCGCUUCGGAUCCAGUCCUGUUGUUAUCAUAUCCUCUCCGUCCACUGUUGAAGAAUGUUUCACCAAGAACGACAUCAUUUUUGCCAACCGGCCUCGCUUGCUGAUCGGCAAGUACAUAGGCUACAACUACACCACUAUUGCUUCAGCAUCAUAUGACGAACACUGGCGCAAUCUCCACCGCCUCAGCGCACUGGAAAUCUUCUCCUCAAAUCGCCUCAACAUGUUUCUAGGGAUUCGCAGGGAUGAAAUCAAGAUUUUACUACACCGAUUGUCUCAGAAGUCAAGGGACAAUUUUGCAAGGGUAGAGUUGAGACCGAUGUUUACAGAGCUAACAUGUUAUAUUCUAAUGAGAAUGGUUGCAGGAAAGAGGUACUAUGGGGAAGCUGUGGAUAGUGAGGAAGGCAAGCAUUUUCAGAAAAUAAUGAGAGGGAUUUUUGAACUGGCUGGGGCGUCAAAUCCAGGAGAUUUUUUGCCUUUACUACGGUGGGUUGAUUUUGGGGGUUAUGAGAAAAGUUGGUGAAGCUCAAUAGAGAGAAAGACGUGAUCUUCCAAGGUCUUAUUAAGGAGCAUAGAAGUCCUGACCAGGGUCUAGUGAAUAAAAACAGCAUGAUCGAUCAUCUGCUUUCACUGCAAAAAUCAGAGCCAGAAUAUUACACAGACGAAAUCAUAAAAGGGCUUGCACUGGUGAGUGAACUUCUGCGUUUUUGUCUUUCAGAAACAGGUCGCCAAAAAGAAUAAUUCUAUUUAAGCCUUGGCUUGCUGGUUCGCUUCUUAGAAAAGACACUGACCAUAAAUGAUUCAUUUGCCAUUAAGUCUGCAGGAGAUCAAGCGCUGCAUAUUCUUUUAGCGCUGCAUAUUCAGUUUUAUUUUCAUUGAUAACAAAAUUUUGCAGGUGUGAGGAAAUAAAGAGUGAAAAAGCAACAAGAAAUGAUGUCCUACUUUUCGUUUUCAAUAUUUCUCAAAUCUAUAAAUAUUGCAUUGCGCAGAUCUUAAUUUUUGCUGGUACUGACACUACUGCGACGACAAUAGAAUGGGCUAUGUCUCUUCUACUCAAUCAUCCUGAUGUUUUGAAGAAAGCUAGAGCAGAAUUGGACACUCAUGUUGGAAAAGAUCGUUUGACGGAAGAAUCAGAUUUCCCCAAAUUACAAUAUCUUCGAAGUAUCAUUUCUGAAACCUUAAGAUUGUUUCCGGCAACCCCACUUUUGAUGCCACAUAUUUCUUCAGACAAUUGCCAAAUAGGAGGAUUUGAUAUACCAAGAGGCACAAUAUUAUUGGUCAAUGCUUGGGCCAUUCACAGAGACCCUAAGUCGUGGAAAGAUCCUACAAGUUUCAAGCCAGAGAGGUUCGAAAAUGAGGAAGGUGAGGCAUACAAGCUAUUGCCAUUUGGCUUAGGAAGAAGGGCUUGCCCCGGUGCUGGCCUGGCUAAUCGAGUGAUAGGUUUGACUUUGGGGUUAUUGAUUCAGUGUUAUGAGUUGGAGAGAGCUAGCGAGAAGGAGGUUGACAUGGCUGAAGGGAAAGGAGUCACCAUGCCCAAAUUGGAGCCAUUGGAAGCCAUGUGUAAAGCUCGUGCUAUUAUCAGAAAGGUAUUAUAAAACAAUGAAGCGACAUCUGGUUGAUGUUAGCAUUAUUAAUUGUCAUAUAUUUGUGUCAUACAUUUUAUCAGUGUGCUCAUCAUAUAUAUUUGUUAUGUUAUUUUAGCUAGCCUAGUCUAAAAAUAAAAGAUUAUGAUUAUGUAAACUUUUUUUUGUUAUUUUUUUCUUAUCUAAAUGAGCAAUUUUGUUAUAUAGUUUUCAUGCCAAAAAUAUUAAACAUUCAUCAUAUACAAUAACCUAAAUUGAAUAAUUAUAGAUAUUGCAUCAAUUAGUCCCAUUACCAACUAUUUUUAAAAAAUAUGUUAAAGCUUGCAGUCCUUGCUUCUCGAAAGGCAGUUAAAUUGCCUACAAUUAUGCCAUGUUAUGCAUCCUUAGCACAUUAUGGUGACCCAAUAGGGCAAUCUCCCCCACCUUGGCUUUCUUGGAAUAUUCCCUUCAAAUUGUCUUAACAUGCUUUUGGGUUUCAACAUGCAAUGGCUUUUUCCCAAAGAGCUUUUGGAAGUGUCUUGACCUUCAACAUGCUUCUUGUCAUCUCUACUAGGGUUAUGUUCUUCCUUUUGUUUAUACCGUUUCAUUGAGGUGUAUAGUUAAUUGUUAAUUAUUGUCAAAUGCCCUGACUUUUAUAAUAAUUAUAAAAUUCAUUGAUGGUAAAUCCUCCUAUAAUUAUCAGAUUCUAAUAUCUUAAUAUUGCAACUAUUCUGUCUUUCAACAAGAAUUUUGAAAUCUUUAAGCUUGCUAAAAACCUUAUAUUUUUCUUUUAACAAAUAAAUCCAAGUUUUUUCUUAUAAAAUCAUCUGUAAAGGUCAAUAUAUAUUUGUUAUAAUUAAGAGAUUUUAUCUCAUCAAAUCAUAUACACACGCACCAAAUCUAAAGGUUUAACUCUUUUGGAUAUUCUAAUUGAAAAAUGAUUCCUAUGUUGUUUCCUAAGUAGACAUUCUUCACAAACAUGAUAUGGAUCAUCAAUUAGUGAUAAUCCUAUCACCAUAUUCAUAUGCACCAAGAGCUUCAACCCAUGAAAAUUGAGAUGACAAAAGGGAAGAUGUCAAAGCCAAUUGCAAUCUUCUACAAUUGCCUUCAAAUAAAAUGAAGUUUUGGUUGAAAAAACAUAGGAAAUAUCAUAUUUUUUUGUCAUCUACACAUUUGAAAUCAUCUUCUUAUUUUUAUCAUUAAGAGUACAAACUCUACUAAAAAUACUAAUGAUAUGUUUUUUUUUGUUAAUUGUCCCAUGCUAAACAAAUUAAAAAAAAAUCUAAUACAAAAAAUAGAUCUACUAUGGUAACAUUAGUGACAUAUUUAAAUGUAUUUUAAUAUUAUCUUUGCCCAUGAUUGAGACUUUAAAUUUACUUCCAAAAUUAACUUUUCAUUUAACUGAUUCAUCAAAUUGCAAAAACAAUUUUUUCUUAUCACACGUGUGAUUGUUCCGUUUUGUAUCAAAGAACCAAACAUCUUUAUGGUUUAUGUUAGAUGUUGUUACAUUAUAGACCAAUAUCAAAUUCUACUCAACCUCAAUGGUGUUUGUCGACUCUAUUUGUUCAUUCUAUAAUUUCAUUCGACAUUUUGAAUUGUAGUGUCCAUACCACUUACAUCUAAAACAUUAUAAGUGUGACUUGUCUUUAGAUCCAAGAAUGUUGACCAUUCCUCUAGAAUAAUUUUUAUUAUAUCCCCAUCUCUAUGAUUGGAGUUGUUGUGUCCUCCUCUACAUCCAUAACCUUGACCUUUGCUACUUUAUUGAUCAUCGUGACCUCUUGUAGACGUUUUACUUUUCAAGACCUACUCCAAACUAGUAGAGUCAAUUAUUUUAUUCAUCCAUUAUUCACGUGAAUACUUACGCUCAUCAACCCUUCAAUUGUGAAAGUGAAGAUAUUUCUUCUUUCUUCAUUUAAUUACAACAACAUAUUCAAAUUUUGCAUGUAAAGAUCGUAUGUAUGACUUUCUCUUAUAUUUUUUUUAAUCAUCAAGCCUUUCACCAUUAACCCACAUCUAGUUUAUAAGUACCCAAUCAAAAUAAUGUGAGAUCAAUUUAGAGUCAUUAAUCAUACGGAGAGACUUGAAUUCACAUCUUAAUGUUCGUAGCGCCAUUCACUUGACAUGAUCAUUACAUUAAUUUAUAUAAUUUGUGUAGAUUAAUUUAUACCUUUAUUUAUUUUUAUGCUUCUACUUUUGAAAUUUUCUCAAGUAUGGAUUCAUUUUCUGCUUAGAAUAUUGCAUAGAGUGCUUAUAUAUAUAUAUAAGAAUAUUUCAAUAAGUCUUUUUACUCCUUUGAUAGUGUCUCAAAUUCUUUUGAAUCAACCACUUUGUUAUAGUCAUGAUCUAUUAAACGCUAUAAAUCUUAAGAUCUAAAUAAGACAUACAUUUAAUCCACUAGUUACUAAAAUUCUUACUUGUGAAUUUUAAGAGUUGAGGUUGAAUUAAUUUGUAAUUAUUUACCGUCAUAAUAUCGCUGACCAAAUUGUAACUUUCUUGUUAUCUAUUUUGCAUAUUCUUAGGUAUUAUGGUACUUAUCUUCUCGUUUUUCACCCUCCGUAAUCUUUUGGCUUUGAUAUGAACAAUACUCUUAUUCUUAUACCACUUGUUGGUAGCUCUACUCUUCUAGCUUUUCACCUUUCUUGAUCUUUUAUUGUUUUUACAUUUUUUUCAACAUAAUAAACUAAUCAUAUUUACACUAUACUUCCAAUUUAUAAUUAAAAGAAAAAGGUUUGAGAGUUGAAUAGCUAUGUAUCCAUGUAAACUUUGUUUCAACGUAAUUAAUAAAUAAGAGUUAAUAUGAUUCAAACUAUCAUUAUAACUCAAAGUGAAAAGAAAAGAAAAAAUAGCUUCAAGCCAAGAUAAUAAGAUAAUGAAAUUGAGAUAAAUACCAAUAUUUAUUAUAAAUGAAAAAAUAAUGAUCUAAGAAAGUCUCUUGCAUCCAUAAUAAUUACAAAAAAAAAAAAAGGUUAGGGACACUAAAUAGCUUUGUAUCCACAUAGCUUCUUAUAGGACAAAAUUAAUUAAUAAAUAAGGAGAUAGAGUGUAUUUGAUAAUGAUUUUAGAAAAUAUUUUUUAGUCUUUUUCAUACUUGAAAUAUUUAUUUUUCAAGAAUUAGAAAUGGUAAAAAUAUUUUUCAAAAUUACGUACUAUCAAACACAGUGUUAAUUUCAUUCAAAUUAUCACUAUAAACAUGAUUAGUAUUACAUAUGUACUUAGAAAACCUCCUAUCUGUCCAUAGAAAUGUUAGUUUCACUUUCAACUUCCUCACAACAAAGUUACAUGAUCAUCAGACUUGGCUAAGUAUUGGUAAAAGAAAAAUGUACAUUCAAAAAAUAAAAAAUUAAACCCAACUUUUAAUUUUGUAUGGUUUUGGCAGUAUCAUGCCAAGUCAAAAUAAACGGAUAAAAAUUGUAAUAUUUAUGCCAAAAAAAUAACAAGCAUUGUUGAUUUGGUCAUUUUUGUUAGCUCUUCAUUCAUCAACCUUUAAUUCAACAAUAUAUGUUUUAGUCUAGAAAAAAAUGCCAAUAAUUAUAAUAGAAUAUUAUAAUUCUACAUCGUACAUGUUCACAAGUGGAAUUCAAUUUAACUUUAAUCUUGCAUACUCUUAUAGGUAAUUAUGUAAAAAUGUUAUGGUAUCUUAUUUCUUAGUCUAUGUUUGGUUUCCAUAAAUAAUGAGGAAAAAAAAUGUUAAAGUUGGUUUUAAUAUAAAAAGAUACAAAAUAAAAUCAAAUAUAAUGAAAAUUAACUACAAAUUUAUAUAUUUUAAAAUUAUUUAAUUUGUAUAUAUUAAAAAAAAUAAAUGAAAUGAGUUUGAAGAACCAUAUGAAAAUAAUUUAUUAAUUUCAAAUUUUCUUUUUCUCAAAUUUUCUUUCAUUCCAUUUUCCUUCCUAUUUUCUUUCUUUCACAUUUUUCCUUAAAUUUCCCGAGAACCAAACAUAGUCUUAUAUAAAUUAAGGACUGUUUGGUAAUUGUUUUCGAAAAUAAUUUUCUAUUCUAAAAAUUAAAACCAAGAAAACAUGUUUAGCAAUUAGAAACUGUUUACUGUUCUUAAAAACAGAAAACAAGGUAUUUUAAGAUAACAAUUUUUAGUUGUUUUAUGUUAUUUUCACUUGUUUUCUAAGGGUUAUUUUAAAAAAGAAUUAUACAAUUAUGUAAAAUGAUUAAAAAUAAAACAUUGGAUAAACAUAUUAAAAAUAAGUUAAAAACAUUUCAGGUUUCUAAACGUACUUUUGUUUUACACAAUAUUAGAUGACAGUUUUUAAAAAUUAUUUUCAAAAAUUGUUUUUUAUAACUAUUUUAGAAAAUAAUUGCCAAACACGACUGAGUAAUCUUAUGGAUAAUUGACCAAAAUAACAGAUAAACUAAAUAGGAUGAGGGAAUAAAUAGUAUCAUGACCUCGUAAAUCUGAUAGCAUGAGCUAUCAAUUGACUUGAGAACUUAAAUUGUGUAGGAAUGGGGCCAUAAUUUAUACCUCUAUAACAACCACUAGCCUGCAAACUUAUUUUCGUGUCUGUUUUCUACCUAAUAAUUAAUAGAUGAAGAAGGAAACACAAAUCAAUGGAGAAGGAUGCUUAAUCCAACUUGAUCAGCAUCCAUUAACAAAUAAUUUUCUACUAACAUUGGCUGUGUCAUCAGCAACCUAAAAGUUAAAAUAAAGGAAUAAAACAAUGAUAUUUGGGUCAUUAAUUGACCUAUUUUCCGAUAUAAUAUAAUGAUGAUCUUCUCCCUCCGCUUCGGAUCUCGUCUUCUUGUUAUCAUAUCCUCUCCAUGCACGGUUGAAGAAUGUUUCACUAAGAACGACAUCAUUUUUGCCAACCGGCCCAUCUUUUUGUUUGGCAAGUACAUAGGCUACAACAACACCAUCGUUACUUCAGCACCGUAUGGCGAACACUGGCGCAAUCUCCGCCGCCUAAGCGCACUGGAAAUCUUCUCUCCAAAUCGCCUCAACAUGUUUAUAGGCACCCGCAGGGAUGAAAUCAAGAUUUUACUACACCGAUUGUCUCAGAAUUCACGGGAUAAUUUUGCAAGGGUAGAGUUGAGACUAAUGUUUACAGAGCUAACAUGUAAUAUUAUAAUGAGAAUGGUUGCAGGAAAGCGGUACUAUGGGGAAGAUGUGGAUUUUGAGGAAGCCAAGCACUUUCAUGAAGUAAUGAGAGGGGUUUUUGAAUUGGCUGGGUAUCCAAUCCAGGAGAGUUUUUUCCUUUACUACGGUGGGUUGACUUUGGGGGUUAGGAGAAGAAGUUGGUGAAGAUCAAAACAAAGAAAGAGGUGAUCUUCCGAGGUCUUAUUGAUGAGCAUCGAAGUCCUAGCCGGGCCCUUGUGAAUAAAAACAGUAUGAUCAAUCAUCUGCUUUCAAUGCAAAAAUCAGAACCAGAAUAUUACACAGAUGAAAUCAUAAAAGGGCAUUCAUUGGUAACUUCAGUAUUGCAGGCAAACUGAUUCUCUUUAAGAUAUACCACUUUUGCCAAAAGAAUAAUGCUAUUCAAACCUAAAUUGGCCAGUUUGCUUCUUAGAAAAAACACUGAUCAGCAUAAAUGGUUCUAUUUUUGUUAAAAAAAAUUAGGUCAUAUGCGCGCCAUUAAGCGUGCAGGAGAGGCAAGCCAACAAAAGUUGGGAAAUCAAGCAAUUUUUUUUCUACGAGUCAAAGGAAUGGCCCCCUGGCCUCUGAUUUCCAUAUAAAGGACAAAGACAUAAAUAUCCUCUUUAACUGCUAUUAUGAUGGACUGAAUAUCUUUCAUAAGUAAUCGGAGGAAGAUCCGACGAUUUUUUCCAGAAAAUCCCCAACGAAAAAUACACACUAUUCCUUCUUUUCUAUCGAAUCGAUCAUAACCACUACCUACAUUCCACGAAAUUGUGCACCACAAAUAGGAGCUAAUAAAGAGACCGACAAUCCCGUAGAAAGACAUCACGAUCCCUUGUGGAAAAAAAAUUAUUUGCUGAGACGGAAAUAAAGAUAUCAAAUUCCUACCAAAAUAACUGGAAGUUCCAACCAAUAAGAACCCUAAUGAACCUAAAAAAAGGAUAAAGGCCCAACAAAAAUUACUUAUUUUUCGAGACCUCGUUAUAAGUUCUAUCCACUCUACUAGGUGUUCUGCCAGUGGCUUCUGGGGGUAUUCACGUUUGGCAUAUGCCUGCUCUGACCGAGAUCUUUGGAGAUGAUUCCAUACUACAGUUCGGUGGAGGAACUUUAGGACACCCUUGGGGAAAUGCACCGGGUGCCGUAGCUAAUCAAGUAGCUCUUGAAGCAUGUGUACAAGCUCGUAAUGAGGGACGUGAUCUUGCUCAUGAGGGUAAUGAAAUUAUCCAUGCAGCUAGCAAAUGGAGUCCUGAACUAGCUGCUGCUUGUGAAGUAAUUAAGGAAGGAAAUCUAAUUUGAAUUCCCAGCAAUGGAUACUUUGUAAUCCAGUAAUUAUUGUUCGUUUCCUAAAUUGAAUUGCAAUUAAACUCGGCCCAAUCUUUUACUAAAAAAAAAGGAUUGACCCGAAUACAAAAAGACUAUUGUAUGUAUAUAUUUUGGAUAGAUACAUACUUAUCUAGAUAUACAAUACAAAAUCUAAGACUAAACAACUCAAAUUUUCUAUUGUUGUGUUAGAUCCACAAUUAAUCCUAUGGAUCCUUAGGAUUGGCGUAUUCUUUUAUAUCUUGUAGUUUCUGUUUGAAAUGGAAAUCUAUAUGUAUGUAGAUAUCUAUAGGGGAUCAUAUGAGGGGGAUGUUAUUAUUUUAGAUUUAACCAAUUCGAUGAAUUACGCCUAAAGGUUCACAUCAGAAUAGUGCUAGUUGAUGAGAGUUACUUCGUAAACAAAAAGAGUAAAGUAAAAUGUAUUCCUAUAUGGGUUAUUCUCNNNNNNNNNNNNNNNNNNNNNNNNNNNNNNNNNNNNNNNNNNNNNNNNNNNNNNNNNNNNNNNNNNNNNNNNNNNNNNNNNNNNNNNNNNNNNNNNNNNNUGAAUUAAUUAAGGAAGGAAAUCUAAUUUGAAUUCCCAGCAAUGGAUACUUUGUAAUCCAGUAAUUAUUGUUCGUUUCCUAAAUUGAAUUGCAAUUAAACUCGGCCCAAUCUUUUACUAAAAAAAAAGGAUUGACCCGAAUACAAAAAGACUAUUGUAUGUAUAUAUUUUGGAUAGAUACAUACUUAUCUAGAUAUACAAUACAAAAUCUAAGACUAAACAACUCAAAUUUUCUAUUGUUGUGUUAGAUCCACAAUUAAUCCUAUGGAUCCUUAGGAUUGGCGUAUUCUUUUAUAUCUUGUAGUUUCUGUUUGAAAUGGAAAUCUAUAUGUAUGUAGAUAUCUAUAGGGGAUCAUAUGAGGGGGAUGUUAUUAUUUUAGAUUUAACCAAUUCGAUGAAUUACGCCUAAAGGUUCACAUCAGAAUAGUGCUAGUUGAUGAGAGUUACUUCGUAAACAAAAAGAGUAAAGUAAAAUGUAUUCCUAUAUGGGUUAUUCUCUCAAUUACAAUAAAAUACAACUGGAUCUAGUAUGAGUUGGCGAUCAGAACGUAUAUGGAUAGAAUGCUGCAUAUUAAUGGUAUAUCAAACGCAACUAGUAUUUGGAGUAUGAAAUUUCCAAUUUUUUUUUUUUUGUUUUUUGAGUAUUUAUAUUAAUGUUGGUGUCACAUGUGGUUUAAUUUUUCUCAAAGCUACAAAUAUUGUAUGCAGAUCUUAAUUCUUGUUGGUACUGAGAUUACUGCAACAACAAUAGAAUGGGCCAUGUCUCUUCUACUCAAUCAUCCUGAUGUUAUGAAGAAAACUAGAGUAGUAGAAUUGGACACUCAUGACAGAAAAGACUGUUUGAUGGAAGAAUCCGAUUUCCCCAAAUUACAAUAUCUUCAAAGUAUCAUUUCUGAAACUUUAAGAUUAUUUCCAGCAGCCCCAGUUUUGGUACCACAUAUGUCUUCAGAUAAUUGCCAAAUAGGAGGAUUUAAACAAGCAAGGCAUUAUCAACAAGCAAGGCAGAAGGUGAAGAAGAAACCCAACUCCCCAACUCCAUCAUUUUUGUCAAGAUGAUCACCACAUCAAAGCUUCUCCUUCAGCAGUUGGCCUCUUAAGUAGCCAACUUGCCACAACAUCAUUAAAGAAGAGGGCUAAUCUAUUAAUCAAUUCAAAUCAAAACAUUGGUUUGCCUUUUCAAAAUUAAAUAGAGUGAUUGUAUAUGCAUUCAUUCUCCAAAUUCCUUUGACUUCCCUUGUUGGAUAAAUUUUGUGAUAGCUUCUAUCAAAAAAUAAGACUAAUUAUAAUAGAUUAUAUGCAUAAUUUAAUUUCAUUACUUGCGUCUAAUUUAUAUUUUAGUCCGUUCUUUUGCAUGUGGUAUCAUUUAUUUUUAUAAGAUUUGUUGCUAGAUUUUAUUUAUUUUGGCAUAUGAAAAUUGUAUAAAGCUUGUAUAAUGAUCGAAUGAAUGACACUUGGCAUUCCACCGAAAACCUUGCCUAAUUAUUCAAUGAAUGAUAUUUGGCAUUCGGCCGCAACGUUCCCGAACCCUGUUAGGCAAGACGCGUGACAAGGAAUAACAACUGCCAUCCUUUACAUCUAAUCUCCUUCAUUGGAUUUCCAUAAAUAUUUUUGUCAUUGGCACAGUUAAAGAUGGAUACGAUCACGAGGAAAACAAUUUAAAAUGUUCAAGUAAAGUAGCUUUUGAAUAUAAGCUUGCGUGAGAAAAAAAAAUUAAGGUGGUUGUUUCCACUACGUACUCCAGUGCUUACCUUCAAUAGUCAACAUUAAGUUAAGUUUGAAUAGCAUAUGCAUAGAACCCAUCUUUCUCUUGAUCAAUAUGUCAUCAACAAAACCAUGGAAGCUACAUGGCUAAGUACAUCUCUAUCUCUUCUCUUUCUCUUGUUUGCUUUCAGUGUCUUCCUCCACAAAGAAGAACACAUCCCCGCCUCCCACCAAGCCCGCCUGCUAUUCCAAUUCUUAGUCAUCUCCAUCUCCUCUUGAAACAACCAAUUCAUCGGCAUCUACAGACUCUUUCUCAAAAAUAUGGUCCUAUCUUCUCCCUCCGUUUCGGAUCCCGUCUUCUUGUUAUCAUAUCCUCUCCAUCCACUGUUGAAGAAUGUUUCACCAAGAGCGACAUCAUUUUUGCCAACCGCCCUUGCUUCUUGUUCGGCAAGACUACAACUACACUACCAUUGCUUCAGCACCAUAUGGUGAACACUGGAGCAAUCUCCGCCGCCGCCUCAGCACACUGGAAAUCUUCUCCACAAAUCGCCUUAACAUGUUUCUGGGUAUCCGCUGGGAUGAAAUCAAGCUUCUAUUGCGCCAAUUGUCUCUGAAUUCAAGGGAUCAUUUUGCAAGGGUAGAGUUGAGACCAAUGUUUAUAGAGCUAACAUGUAAUAUUAUAAUGCGAAUGGUUGCAGGAAAUCGGUAUUAUGGGGAAGCAGUGGAUUUCGAGGAAGCCAAACUUUUUCGGGAAGUAAUGAGAGGGAUUUUCGAAUUGGCUGGAACACUGGCGCACCCUCCUCCGCCUCGUCAGCACACUUGAAGUAUUCUCUUCCAAUCACCUUCGCAUGUUCUAAGGCAACCGUAACGAUGAAAUCAGUCAUUUAUUCAUCGUUUGUCUUGGGAUUCCAGGGGUAAUUUUGUGAAGGUAGAGUUGCUGCUAAUAUUUAAUAUUAUAAUGAGGAUGAUUGCAGGAAAGCGCUACUAUGGUGAAGACCUGCACGUUGAGGAGGCGAGGCAUUUCCAAGAUAUUAUAGGGAAGAUCUUUGAAUUGGGCGCAACAUCAAAUCCAAUAGAUUUUUUUGCCUCUGUUGCGAUGGAUAGAUUAUGGAGGUUAUGAGAGGAAGAUGCAUGGCAAAUAGUAUAGUGUUAGAUGCGAUCUUGCAAGGUUUUGAUUAAUGAGCAUACAAUAAAAAUGGUUUAGUGGGUAAUAAUACUAUGAUCGACCAUCUAUUAUCAUUGCAAAAAUCAGAACUAGAAUACUACACAGAUGACAUCAUUAAAGCUUGUGGAAUGACCUCGAAAGUUUUAAGCUGUAGAGGUUUGAGAAUAGGGAAAGAGAUACAUCCAAACUACUGCUCUUUGGAGUGGGAAGGAGGGCGUGUCCUGGGAUUGACCUACCAAACCAUAGUGUGGAUUUGGCUGUGGGGUCAUUAAUUCCAGAGUUUUAUGUGCAAGAAAAUAGACUAUAGGAAAAUUACAUAUAAUAAUGAUGAGAUAUGAGAACAUGUAAUAGAAAUGAUAAUACUAUUUUAAGAAAAUAAAAGUGGACAAAUACUUGGUAUUUCUGUAUAUAAUAUGAAUUAUAAUAAUUUUUACAAAAAGUGGUUGUUAUUGGAAAAAACAAAUAUCAUUUGAAUUAAUUAUAUAUAAUAAUGAUAAAAUAUAAACACAUAUAAUAGAAAUGAUAAUACUAUUUUAGGAAAAAAAGUGGACAAACACUUCGUAUUUUUAUAUAUAAGAUAGAUUAAAAUAAUUUUUAUAAAGCAUAGGUUGUCAUUGGAAAAAACAAACACCAUUUGAAUUAAUUAGAUAUAAUAAUGAGAGGAUAUAAUCACAUAUAAUAGAAAUAAUAAGACUAUUUUUGGAAGAAAAAAUUGUCAAAACACCUCUUAAUAUAUAUCUUAAUAUAUAUAUAUAUAUAUAUACACGCGUGAUAUAGAGCAUACAUGGUACAUCAUGUAUUGUUUCUAUUUCUAAAGAUUGUCCUCAGACUGCUGAAGCCUACCUGCAUCAGUAAAAAUUGAAUAGCAUAUACUCAAUAUAUUAAGAGAGUCUCAUAGUAAUCUUAAUGUAAACCUGAUGUGAGCUACUUCAAAACAUGCAUAUGACUAUUUCUACCUACAAAAUAGAGGAUUGUGGUUUACAUAUGUUACAGUUUUAGCGAAGGGAUGGAGCAAGAUUGAACAAGAAUGACAGAAGUUGUAAAAGAAACUCAACACUACCAUUCUCGUUAAGACUAUUAUAUCAACCAUUCUUACUAUAUGAGUUCUUUUUCAGCAUUUGGCCUUCCAUGCAACCAACUCGCAACACUUUGGUUUGAGGAGAGGCCUUCCUCACACCAUCAUAAAAAAAGAGGCCGCCUCCAUUGCCUCAUUGAUGGUGGCGGCGCUUCAAACUUAGACUUUCAAGGAUACAAUUGACUAUUUGAAACAAUGUUAUGGGUUGUCAUUGUGGUCUGAAUCAUUGAUUUAGUGGUGUAUACAUAUAAAAAGAGAGAGAUAAGGCAAAACUAACAAUGGGUUUGGGAUUGAUUUUGAGAGAGUUAAAAGUAGUCACUAUACUUGGAAACGCAUCCUAUACAAAAUUAGGUAUUUGAUAAACUUUUCAAAUUCUCUUUUAACAGUCUAAAAAAUUACUUGAGUUGAUUAAAGGAAAAUAACUUGAUGCAUGAUUUUUCGAAAAUACUUUUAUAAAAUAUUGUAGAUAAAAGUGCUUUAAUCGAAAUCAUUUCUAAAUGUACUUUAAAUUUCAUAUUUUCAAACUUUCCUAACCUUUCUUUAACCAAAACUCAUUUAAGCUUUGUCUAUAUGUUUUGACUCUUCACUCAUUUUUUUAUUGUCUAAAAAUAUUAUGUAAAAUAACAUGGUCAAACAUGAAUCUUAUUAUUAAUAAUUUUUUUAAAAAAUAAAAAGUAAAUAAAAAAUAAUAUGAGCAAGUUUUUUCUACUCAACCGUACAAAUGUCUUAAAGAAGGGUUAAAAAUAGAGUAAUCAUGUAGGAAAUUAUUACUUGAGAAAAGAAUCCACUAAGGUUAUUUGGGUAAGAGGUUGAAAUAACAACUCUAUUUGUAUAAAUAACUCAUUAAAAAAAAAAAAACAUAAAACACAACCUUAUAGAAAAAAAUACCCUUCUGUUUUUUUAUUUUUCUCCAACAUAAGGAUUUCUCACUAUUUUCAUCUUACCUUUUUUUUCUUUUCUUUAUUCCUUACAAUAAAAAAAUGUUAAAGUUCUCUCAUCCCCUCUUUAUUAAUGGUCAUGAAAAUGAAUUAAGAUAUAUAAAUGACCAAUAUUAUUUUUUCUUCUUAUUUUUUUCUUUUGAUGACAAAGAUUUCUAAAACCCUUACUUUACUAUUACCAAACCAAACAAAAAACUCUCUACUAUUAAAUAUAAAAUAGUAUUAAGAGCCAAUAUAACAAAGGUCAAAUGAUGGCAUACAAUGAAUCUCAUAUGAUGGCAUACAAUGAAUCUCAAAUAUUUAAAACUAUAUUGAUUUCAACAUUGUUGGUCGAUUCUAACUCAAAAUAUUCACUUGAACUUUAUUGCAGUUGGGUUUUAUUUAUAAAGAACUUAAUUGGAGUAAAGUUCUUGAUUAGAAUAUUCACUUGGCCAACUAUAGUCAAGUCAUUUUGAAUAGCUAACUAACAUGAUAUAUAGUAAUGAGACAUUAACUCAUUCUAAUGUUUUAAAAAUGAUACCAAAUUAGUUUAUGAGACUAUAAGGUUGGUUCCUUUGUAAUAUCAAUUUAUAAUAUUAAAUGUGAGGAAAUAAAAUAUAAAAUAAAUUAAAAGGUUGAUAGAAUAAGAUAUAUUUAACUCAAAUAAAUUUUCAAUAUUUUUUAUUUUAUGUAGCUAUUUUUCAAUUAAUUUCCAAUAAAUAACGAAAACAAUUAAAAUCCCUUAUUAGAAAAUAGUAUGAUUCUUAAGAAGACAAUUUAUUAUUAGACAAUUAAAAGAUUAUUCAACGUGUUUGGACUUUGGAUUUUGUGAGCGUGGAAAGGUUUUUAUUAUUAAGAAUUACAAGAAGUUUUUAAUUCUUCCACAUUUCGCGUCGUGCCUGACAUCAUUCGUAGGUCAACCUCAUGCAUGACAUCAUUUUUUUUGGACCCCUUCUCCAAUCGUAGUAGCUGUUUUUUCUUUCCUUUCAUAAUUUCAUUCGUGGACAAUUGAGGCAGGCAGAAAGGGAGGAUGGAGUCAAAGAAGUCGGAUGAGAGAUAGUGGGUGGUUUUUGUACUUUUUUGGUACUAUAAUUUGCUUUAAGGUUAAAUACAACUUAAGCUCAUUAAUUAAUCAUUAUAAAUAUUUUAUUGUUUUAAAAUUUAAACACUGAGCUUGUUUUUAUUUAUUUAUUUAUUGAUAUUUCAAAAUAUUAUUACACACUAAAUAAAUCAGCUUUAUUUUUGUAAAAAUAUUAAUUAUUUAUUUUUCUUGUUUUAUAUAAUUAAGAUAAAGAUAUUUGAAAUAAAAAAUAAGUAAUUUAACAUACUUUUAAAUAUCCUAAAAUAUCAGAUCACAUUAUAAUAACAAAAAAUUUAAUGAUAUAAAAUAAUUAGCAAUUAUAUAGUAAUUAAAGUUUUAAAUUAUAUUUGGUUGCUAAGAAAUGUUAGAAAUAUUUUAUGUAAAGUUUUAUGAAAUACUUAUGGGUUGUAUGUGACACAUAUUUGGAUGUAUUGAUUAUUUAUUUAAAUGGUUAAUUUAUUAUUUUUAAAAUUUUCUAUUAUAGUAAUUAACAACAUCAAAUCAUAAAUUUUUAUUUUUAAUAUUAAUUUAAAAAAUUUAUUUGAGUGAAUAUUUACAUAAAUGUGAAUUGGGUUUUGGAGUUAUAAUUAGAGAAAAUAUAUUUGAAUUAAUGUAGAUAAUUCAAAUAUUAUUAAGGUAAGCAAUGAAAUCAUUAAAAUUGAAACAUGAUCAGGUAAAAAACUUUGUCCUCUUCCUUGUUGAUCAUUCUAUAAAUAAAGCAUAAAUAACCAGGGAAUGCACUUGUAUCUAAGCCUACCUUUCCUUUCACUUCUUCAGUGUCACUCCCAUGGAUGUGUCUUCCCUUCACACAUCGCUCUCUCUUCUCUUCGUGUUUCUCUUGCUUGCUUUCGGAAUCUUCUUCCCAAGAAGACGAAGAUAUGGGAAUCUCCCACCCAGCCCGCCUGCAGUUCCGAUUAUAGGUCAUCUCCACCUCCUCAAACAACCGGUUCAUCGAUCUCUACAACUCCUUUCACAAAAGUACGGUCCAAUCUUCUCCCUCCGAUUAGGAUCCCAGCUCGCGGUCAUCGUUUCCUCUCCCUCCGCCGUCGAAGAAUGCUUCACCAAGAACGACGUCGUCUUGGCCAACCGCCCUCGCUUUGCGUCCGGCAAGUACGUGGGGUACAACUACACCACCAUUGGCGCGGCAUCAUACGGCGACCACUGGCGCAACCUCCGUCGCCUCAGCGCCCUGGAAAUCUUCUCCUCCAAUCGCCUCAACAUGUUUCUAGGCAUCCGCAGGGAUGAAGUCAAGCGUCUACUCCUCCGACUGGCUCGAGAUUCGAGGGAGGGUUUUGCAAAGGUAGAGAUGAGACCCAUGCUUACAGAGCUAACCUUUAAUAUUAUAACGAGGAUGGUUGCAGGAAAGAGAUACUACGGAGAAGACGUGGAAUAUACGGAGGCUAAACGUUUUCGGGAGAUUAUCAGCCAGCUUUUCAUACUGGGCGGGGCAUCAUCAAAUCCAGCAGAUUUUUUGCCCAUAUUGCGAUGGAUUGGGCUCGGAUAUCAUGAGAAGAAGCUAAAGAAGAUCGUGAGAGAGACAAGGGCGAUCUUGCAGGGUUUGAUUGAUGAGCAUAGAAGUGGUAAUGACAAGGGUUCGGUGGAUAAUAAUUCUAUGAUCGACCAUCUGUUAUCCUUGCAAAAAACAGAACCAGAGUACUACACAGAUGACAUUAUUAAAGGGCUUGUACAGGUGAGUGACGCGCUGUUUUCGUAUCUGCUGUAUUUUCAAAGUUUAUUCUAAAAUUUCACAGAAAACAAAAAUAAAAGUGCAGUUUAAUACUUGUAGUGGGAAACUUGGUUUUUGAAGUGUAUAAUGUUGGUUUUUUGCGGGUUUUUUUUACUUCUUUUUUCAUCUCACAAAUUCUUCAAUACAGGUCUUAAUUCUUGCUGGAACCGACACUUCAGCAGCAACAAUGGAAUGGGCAAUGACCCUUCUCCUCAAUCAUCCGGAUGUUUUGGAGAAAGCUAAAGCAGAGUUGGAUAUGCACGUUGGAAAGGACCGCUUGAUAGAAGAAUCUGAUCUUCCCAAACUGCGGUACCUUCGAAGUAUCAUUUCUGAGACUUUGAGAGUAUUUCCUGUGGCCCCUCUGUUACUGCCCCAUAUGUCCUCAGAUGACUGUCAAAUAGGGGGUUUUGAUAUACCACGAGGCACAUUAUUACUGGUAAAUGUAUGGGCCCUUCACAGAGACCCUCAGGUGUGGGAAGAUCCUACAAGUUUCAAACCUGAAAGGUUUGAAAAUGGAGAACGUGAGAAUUACAAACUAGUACCAUUUGGAAUAGGAAGAAGAGCCUGUCCUGGAGCUGGCCUAGCUCAGCGAGUGGUGGGUUUGGCUUUGGGGUCGUUGAUUCAGUGCUAUGACUGGAAGAAGAUUAGCAACACCGCUAUUGACACCAUUGAAGGGAAAGGGCUGACCAUGCCCAAACUGCAGCCAUUGGAAGCCAUGUGUAAGGCACGUGAGAUUAUAAACGAGGUUCACUUGAACUAGAAAACAAUAUUUAGUUGGUAUUAGUACUCUGCUGUUUUGCUUGUAUUGAUGCAAUAAGCAUUCUCUGAUGCAUUUCGAGUAUCGUCC